AUACGGAGGGGGUUAGCGUUGUUCGGAAUUACGGGGCGUAAAGCGCGCGUAGGCGGCUUUGCAAGUAGAGGGUGAAAUCCCAGGGCUUAACCCUGGAACUGCCUCCUAAACUGCAGAGCUAGAAUCCUGGAGAGGUGAGUGGAAUUCCUAGUGUAGAGGUGAAAUUCGUAGAUAUUAAGAAGAACACCAGUGGCGAAGGCGACUCACUGGACAGGUAUUGACGCUAAGGUGCGAAAGCGUGGGGAGCGAACAGGAUUAGAUACCCUAGUAGUCC
RNAcentral lists this ribosomal RNA (274 nucleotides) under uncultured bacterium. RNAcentral's name for it is "partial 16S ribosomal RNA". It matches the Rfam family "Bacterial small subunit ribosomal RNA", at positions 523 to 796 of the family's 1533-position model. The record is from RNAcentral.